AGUGCGGACGGCUCACCUAUAUUCAGCCAAGAGGCAGUGAAAAGUGGAGCUCAAGCUGGUCGGUGCCAAUGGAAUAGUCGAAGGUGACUAUUGUGCAAUGAAAAAAAAAAAAAUCAACCGCGUUGAGCUAGGUGAAUGUAAAUACAGUGAAAGCAUAUUGACGGACUCGGUGCGAAAUUGCCUCGAGGUACUGGAGAUGCGCUCGUGUGUCGAAAUAAAUAACUGCAACGGUACCAGAACAGUAUCGCUGACCUCCUAAUACGAUUCCACGCCGGGAGUGCAGAGCAUCAUCCACUCGAUGGACAAAUUCGAUUCAAUUUAACUGCGGUAAAGUUGCGAACCCGCAGCAUAUUCUUAGAUACCGAGAGACUGCAGUACGUAAGAAACAGGAGAGCGGUACUGAUGGCACAACAUAACAAAAGGACGGUUCUCGAAACUGUUGAGCUCCUGUUAAUAGAAAAUGAGGCUUCAAUGAAAAGUCGCAACACAACCAGGUUAACUACGUAUUCGGAAAGGCUAGAAUACGCCAGUUGAAGGGUGCCUCGGUCUUCGCCGUGGAAGUGUUGGGUAAGCAUGGACUGAAAAAGCUCCUGUGGCGGACCCAACACGGAACACUUCACGACGGACUUCUGAUCACAGCAAGCCUGCAGCAACGGUAACGACCACCAAAACAAUGAGCACCAUUCAUUGCAUCCAAGUGACCCUUAAUCGAGCAAAAGCUGCCACAAGCGUCCUUGCCCGGAGGUUCACCGAAGAUCGCCUAGACAUCGCUCUUAUACAGGAGCCGUGGGCAAAUAAACAAAAAAUCUUUCGUUUAAAUUCCUCAGCUCACAUGAUUCAUUCAACGAGACGUCGUUGCAACAACAAUGGAUGCACCGACGGUUAGGGGCAAGCAGGAGAUUGUAAUCGUAUCGAUGUUCUCAUAAAGUACUGCAGAAA
Topomyia yanbarensis is the source of this 939-nucleotide long non-coding RNA. RefSeq lists it as uncharacterized. The record is from RefSeq and is a predicted model, not a curated record. Lineage: Eukaryota; Metazoa; Arthropoda; Insecta; Diptera; Culicidae. The transcript is spliced from 3 exons.